GAUGAACGCUGGCGGCGUGCUUAACACAUGCAAGUCGAACGGAAAGGCCCAAGCUUGCUUGGGUACUCGAGUGGCGAACGGGUGAGUAACACGUGGGUGAUCUGCCCUGCACUUCGGGAUAAGCCUGGGAAACUGGGUCUAAUACCGGAUAGGACGAUGGUUUGGAUGCCAUUGUGGAAAGUUUUUUCGGUGUGGGAUGAGCUCGCGGCCUAUCAGCUUGUUGGUGGGGUAAUGGCCUACCAAGGCGUCGACGGGUAGCCGGCCUGAGAGGGUGUACGGCCACAUUGGGACUGAGAUACGGCCCAGACUCCUACGGGAGGCAGCAGUGGGGAAUAUUGCACAAUGGGCGCAAGCCGGAUGCAGCGACGCCGCGUGGGGGAUGACGGCCUUCGGGUUGUAAACUCCUUUCGCUAGGGACGAAGCGUUUUUGUGACGGUACCUGGAGAAGAAGCACCGGCUAACUACGU
This 467-nucleotide ribosomal RNA is filed under the name uncultured bacterium. RNAcentral's name for it is "partial 16S ribosomal RNA". It matches the Rfam family "Bacterial small subunit ribosomal RNA", at positions 28 to 506 of the family's 1533-position model. The record is from RNAcentral.